AGAUGAUCCUGGCUAUUACAGACCGGUAAGUCUAACAUCAGUACCAGGCAAAUUAGUUGAAACAAUAGUGAAGAAUAAAAUUGUCAGACACUUAGAAGAACAUAAAUUGUUGCGCAAAAGUCAACAGGUUUCUGUAUAGGGAGAUCAUGUUUUACUAAUCACUUAGAGUUCUUUGAGGGGGUCAACAAACAUGUUGCAGGGGGUUGGAUAGAUGACCUCCUGAGGUCCCUUCCAACCCUGAUAUUCUAUGAUUCU
Molecule: long non-coding RNA, 255 nt
Organism: Chelonia mydas (Green sea turtle)
Lineage: Eukaryota; Metazoa; Chordata; Testudines; Cheloniidae
Exons: 3
Source: RefSeq, a predicted model, not a curated record